GCUUACGGCCACACCGCGUGGUUAGCCGAUCUCGUUUGAUCUCGGAAGCUAAGAUAGGUUGGGCCUGGUUAGUACUUGGAUGGGAGACCGCCUGGGAAUACCAGGUGCUGUAAGCU
This 116-nucleotide ribosomal RNA is filed under the name Scophthalmus maximus (turbot). The record is from RNAcentral. Lineage: Eukaryota; Metazoa; Chordata; Actinopteri; Pleuronectiformes; Scophthalmidae.